Molecule: transfer RNA, 76 nt
Filed under: Candidatus Gottesmanbacteria bacterium RBG_16_38_7b
Lineage: Bacteria; Candidatus Gottesmaniibacteriota
Description: tRNA-Val
Rfam family: tRNA
About the family: Transfer RNA (tRNA) molecules are approximately 80 nucleotides in length. Their secondary structure includes four short double-helical elements and three loops (D, anti-codon, and T loops).
Source: RNAcentral
GACCGCUUAGCUCAGUUGGCAGAGCGUUGCGCUUACAUCGCAAAGGUCGGGGGUCCGAAACCCUCAGCGGUCACCA